RNAcentral lists this unclassified non-coding RNA (313 nucleotides) under air metagenome. RNAcentral describes it as "partial contains small subunit ribosomal RNA, internal transcribed spacer 1, and 5.8S ribosomal RNA". The stretch from base 1 to 46 matches the Rfam family "Eukaryotic small subunit ribosomal RNA", at positions 1786 to 1831 of the family's 1831-position model. The record is from RNAcentral.
AAGUCGUAACAAGGUUUCCGUAGGUGAACCUGCGGAAGGAUCAUUAUUGAAAUAAACCUGAUGAGUUGCUGCUGGCUCUCUAGGGAGCAUGUGCACACUUGUCAUCUUUAUAUCUCCACCUGUGCACCUUUUGUAGACCUGGUUAUCUUUCUGAGUGCUAGCACUCAGGUUUGAGGAUUGACUUUCUUUGUCUCUCUUUAUAUUUCCAGGUCUAUGUUCUUCAUAAUACCCAAUGUAUGUUAUUAGAAUGUAAUACUUGGGCCUUUGUGCCUAUAAACCUAUACAACUUUCAGCAACGGAUCUCUUGGCUCUC